This 84-nucleotide transfer RNA is filed under the name Gammaproteobacteria bacterium. RNAcentral describes it as "tRNA-Leu". It matches the Rfam family "tRNA". Rfam says of the family: Transfer RNA (tRNA) molecules are approximately 80 nucleotides in length. Their secondary structure includes four short double-helical elements and three loops (D, anti-codon, and T loops). Lineage: Bacteria; Pseudomonadati; Pseudomonadota; Gammaproteobacteria. The record is from RNAcentral.
GCCGGGGUGGCGGAAUUGGUAGACGCGCCAGACUCAAAAUUUGGUGGUGGUAACGCCGUGUGGGUUCGAGUCCCACCCUCGGCA